AUUGAACGCUGGCGGCAUGCCUUACACAUGCAAGUCGAACGGUAACAGGUCUUCGGAUGCUGACGAGUGGCGAACGGGUGAGGAAUACAUCGGAGCGUGCCUAGUAGUGGGGGAAAACUCCUCGAAAGAGUGGCUAAUACCGCAUGAGAUCUACGGACGAAAGCAGGGGAUCGCAAGACCUUGUGCUACUAGAGCGGGCGGUGGCAGAUUAGGUAGUUGGUGGGAUAAAAGCUUACCAAGCCGACGAUCUGUAGCUGGUCUGAGAGGACGAUCAGCCACACUGGGACUGAGACACGGCCCAGACUCCUACGGGAGGCAGCAGUGGGGAAUUUUGGACAAUGGGCGCAAGCCUGAUCCAGCAAUGCCGCGUGCAGGAUGAAGGCCUUCGGGUUGUAAACUGCUUUUGUACGGAACGAAAAGCCCCGGGUUAAUACCCUGGGGUCAUGACGGUACCGUAAGAAUAAGCACCGGCUAACUACGUGCCAGCAGCCGCCGUAA
Molecule: ribosomal RNA, 498 nt
Filed under: uncultured bacterium
Lineage: Bacteria
Description: partial 16S ribosomal RNA
Rfam family: Bacterial small subunit ribosomal RNA
Source: RNAcentral